CCUACGGGUGACAGCAGUGAGGAAUAUUGGACAAUGGUCGGGAGACUGAACCAGCCAAGCCGCGUGUGGGAAGACGGUCCUCUGGAUUGUAAACCACAGUCCCCAGGGACGAAGAUGACGGAACCUGGGGAGGAAGCUCCGUCUAACAACGUGCCAGCACCCACGGUAAUACGUAGGGAGCGGGCGUUGUCCGGAAUUACUGGGUUAAAGGGGAGCGUAGGCGGGACUUCAGGCUGGGUGUAAAAUCCACCGUCUCACCCGGUAGCCGCACUCAAAAUUGCAGUUGUUGAGUGAAGUAGAGGCAGGCGGAAUUCCUAGUGUAGCGGUGAAAUGCGUAGAUAUUAGGAGGAACACCAGUGGCGAAGGCGGCCUGCUGGGCUUUUACUGACGCUGAGGCUCGAAAGUGUGGGGAGCAAACAGGAUUAGAUACCCGAGUAGUC
This 440-nucleotide ribosomal RNA is filed under the name uncultured bacterium. Its description in RNAcentral is "partial 16S ribosomal RNA". It matches the Rfam family "Bacterial small subunit ribosomal RNA", at positions 338 to 795 of the family's 1533-position model. The record is from RNAcentral.